Molecule: ribosomal RNA, 429 nt
Filed under: uncultured bacterium
Lineage: Bacteria
Description: bacterial SSU rRNA
Rfam family: Bacterial small subunit ribosomal RNA
Source: RNAcentral
GCUUAACGCGAAGAACCUUACCUACUCUUGACAUCCAGAGAACUUAGCAGAGAUGCUUUGGUGCCUUCGGGAACUCUGAGACAGGUGCUGCAUGGCUGUCGUCAGCUCGUGUUGUGAAAUGUUGGGUUAAGUCCCGCAACGAGCGCAACCCUUAUCCUUUGUUGCCAGCGGUUCGGCCGGGAACUCAAAGGAGACUGCCAGUGAUAAACUGGAGGAAGGUGGGGGAUGACGUCAAGUCAUCAUGGCCCUUACGAGUAGGGCUACACACGUGCUACAAUGGCGUAUACAAAGAGAAGCGACCUCGCGAGAGCAAGCGGACCUCAUAAAGUACGUCGUAGUCCGGAUUGGAGUCUGCAACUCGACUCCAUGAAGUCGGAAUCGCUAGUAAUCGUAGAUCAGAAUGCUACGGUGAAUACGUUCCCGGGUCUU